Molecule: ribosomal RNA, 802 nt
Filed under: uncultured bacterium
Lineage: Bacteria
Description: bacterial SSU rRNA
Rfam family: Bacterial small subunit ribosomal RNA
Source: RNAcentral
AGAGUUUGAUCAUGGCUCAGGACGAACGCUGGCGGCGUGCUUAACACAUGCAAGUGGUGCGACGAACCAGGGCUUGCCCUGGGGCAAAGCCGCGAACGGGUGAGUAACACGUGGGUAACCUGCCCCGAUGACCGGGACAACCCGAGGAAACUCGGGCUAAUACCGGAUGUGGCGCACAGGCAUAAGCCUGUUCGCUAAAGGAAGCUUCGGCCUCCGCAUUGGGAGGGGCCCGCGGCCCAUUAGCUUGUUGGUGGGGUCACGGCCUACCAAGGCGACGAUGGGUAGCUGGUCUGAGAGGACGAUCAGCCACACUGGGACUGAGACACGGCCCAGACUCCUACGGGAGGCAGCAGUGGGGAAUCUUGCGCAAUGCGCGAAAGCGUGACGCAGCAACGCCGCGUGGGGGAAGACGGCCUUCGGGUUGUAAACCCCUUUCAGGAGGGACGAAGGUUCACCGGUGAAUAGCCGUGUGGAUUGACGGUACCUCCAGAAGAAGCUCCGGCUAACUACGUGCCAGCAGCCGCGGUAAUACGUAGGGAGCAAGCGUUGUCCGGAAUCAUUGGGCGUAAAGCGCGCGUAGGCGGCCCUGUAAGUCCGUUGUAAAAGUCAAAGGCUCAACCUUUGAAAGCCGAUGGAUACUGCAGGGCUAGAGUCCGGAAGAGGCGAGUGGAAUUCCUGGUGUAGCGGUGGAAUGCGCAGAUAUCAGGAGGAACACCAAUAGCGAAGGCAGCUCGCUGGGACGGUACUGACGCUAAGGCGCGAAAGCGUGGGGAGCGAACAGGAUUAGAUACCCUAGUAGUCC